CCUACGGGUGGCAGCAGUGGGGAAUAUUGGACAAUGGGGGCAACCCUGAUCCAGCCAUGCCGCGUGUGUGAAGAAGGCCCUCGGGUUGUAAAGCACUUUCAGUGAGGAAGAACGCCUGGUGGUUAAUACCCAUCAGGAAAGACAUCACUCACAGAAGAAGCACCGGCUAACUCCGUGCCAGCAGCCGCGGUAAUACGGAGGGUGCGAGCGUUAAUCGGAAUUACUGGGCGUAAAGCGCGCGUAGGUGGCUUGAUAAGCCGGUUGUGAAAGCCCCGGGCUCAACCUGGGAACGGCAUCCGGAACUGUCAAGCUAGAGUGCAGGAGAGGAAGGUAGAAUUCCCGGUGUAGCGGUGAAAUGCGUAGAGAUCGGGAGGAAUACCAGUGGCGAAGGCGGCCUUCUGGACUGACACUGACACUGAGGUGUGAAAGCGUGGGUAGCAAACAGGAUUAGAUACCCCAGUAGUC
This 465-nucleotide ribosomal RNA is filed under the name Vreelandella stevensii. Its description in RNAcentral is "partial 16S ribosomal RNA". It matches the Rfam family "Bacterial small subunit ribosomal RNA", at positions 338 to 795 of the family's 1533-position model. Lineage: Bacteria; Pseudomonadati; Pseudomonadota; Gammaproteobacteria; Oceanospirillales; Halomonadaceae. The record is from RNAcentral.